Long non-coding RNA from Hemicordylus capensis (graceful crag lizard), 2441 nucleotides. RefSeq lists it as uncharacterized. NCBI's taxonomy places the organism in Eukaryota, Metazoa, Chordata, Lepidosauria, Squamata, Cordylidae. The record is from RefSeq and is a predicted model, not a curated record. The transcript is spliced from 4 exons.
UCAAACUGGCCCGGCUCGAAGGCUCACCUUCGAGCCAGACUGGGCUCAGUUCAGCUUGAGGUUGAGCUGAACCCCCCAGACCAUUUCAGGGUUUUGUUUUGAUUUUUAAAUAAUAAAUGGUGGAUUUAGAGAUAGAGCAGUGGAAGAUUUCUAAUGCAUCAGUUCUAUUUCAGAAACAUGGCCAGGUAAUUUGGAACUCAGCAUUUCAAAUGAGAAGAAUUUUGGAAGCUUCCCUAUUAAGAUGCACACGGUAGAGUAGUAUUGAGGUAUUGAUUUUAAAAAAAUUAUAUUUCACCUACCACCACCCACCCACCCACCCACCCAUUGCAGUGUUUCCCAAGCAUCUGAUAGCUUUGGCACCAUUUCCCCCCCUAAAUUAAUACUGGAAAUUAAGCCAUUCAUGCAACCCUAAUGUGUGAAAGAACCCUGCCCAGAAAGCUCACACAGUUCUCGCUUUUUAAAAUUGUAUGUGUUAUAUGCAGAUGGUGUUAACCUGCAUAGUAAUGCACUAAAGAAUUUGAUGGUGCCUCUGGCAGUGAUUGGCUGAGAACCCUGACUGUCUCAAAGGGCAGAAUAGUCUCUGGCUGCUACUGGUUGAACUGCUCUGAUCUAAGAGUGGUACAGGGCAGUCAGAAGGACCAGGGGAGAAGCGGAAAAGAGGCACAGGAAAAAGAGAAGGCAGGAAAGCAUGGUGGUGGGACCAGGCUCAGAAAAGGGGUUGAAAAGAAAAUGCUUCCGAUCAAUAGGCAGAAGGGAAACACAGGAGGAAGAGCUUAAGAAGAGAAGUCAAACAGGAGAGGUGGUGCCCAUGACCAGAUACUGCAGAGAACCCGGGGAAUUUCUGCUACAGAACUAUGAGGCCAAAGAAGGCAUGGAAGGCAACUCCCCCACCUCUCCCUCCCUGCAGCAGCCCCCGAAAAGCCGCUCCAGAAGGUCAAGGGACUCGCCGGAUGGGGGUGGGACUGAGGCGUUGGCAGCUGCAAGGGGUGAAUGGAAUUUCUGAAUAUAAGGAUUCCCCACGGGACAAAUGGCUACACAAACAAACUGCAAAAGAUUACUGAAUAACAUACAACACAUGCCUAAUUAUACACAUGUCCUGAGUUGUUGGCCGAGUAUUUCUCCUUUGGCAAACUCCUUCUGCUGUGUGAGGAGAUGGCUCUAAUGAAAAUCAAGAAAGCAGCUUGGAGACCUCUGAUCUGUUGUCAAUUCAUCAAUGAGGGUAUUUAAGAGAACGUCUUCUUUGACAUGAGCCCCACCGCCUGUUAAGACCAUCUGGAGAGAUUCGUCUAUGGUUGCCGCUGACUAGGGAUGGGCCUUCUCCAUUGCUGCCCCUGGACUUUGGAAUGCGCUCCCUGUUGAAUUAAGAGCCUCCCCAUCUCUGGCAACUUUUUAGAAGGCACUGAAGACACAUUCACUGAAGACACAUUCACCAAGGCUUUUAAUUAGAUUUAUAGUUUUAAUACUUUUAAUGUUGAGUUUGAAACAAUUUUAAUGUUUAAAUGUUUUUAAUUGUUUUAAUUGAUUAAUUGAUUUUAAUGUUUAAAUUAUUUUAAUUGUAAACCACCUAGAGACACACAUUUUGGGUGGUAUAGAAAUAUGUUAAAUAAAACAAAUAAUAAAAUAAAUAAAAUAUUUAUAUACCACCUCUAACCAGAGGUCUCAAGGCAGUUCACAGCCAAUUAACAUACCCAUAUUUAAAAUGGUUUUUGAAGUACCUGGACACCAUGGCCAUCGUGGACAUCAACCCCUGGACACCAUGGCCAAAGACCAGGGGUGAUGGGAACUGUAGUUUAAAAAAUAAUAAAUUACCAGUUGGGGUACCCCACAGCUGGUUUUUGAGAAAGGAAAAAAAUGUGGGGAGUUCAGAUCACAGCAUCGUCAUGUCUUGUGUAGUUGGGCUUCACAGGCUGAUGACUCACAAUGUUUCAUUUGAUUGUGAGUUACUAUUGUUAUAAACAAUUAAAUUGGCCUGUUCACUAGGUGUAGAUAUCAGAUACUAAUCUCUUUCCUGAGAAAAGGGGGCGAUUAUUUUAGCGAUUAUGUGAUGUUCCAGUGUGGGAAUUCCCACAUCAAGUCUCAUUUGAUCUUGACUAGCUGGAUUGUGUCUAACGCAGGAGUUCUUAAACUUGAGUCCCAAGAUGUUGUUGGACUACAUCUCCCAUCGUCCUCAGCCACAGUGGCCUUUGACUGGGGAUGAUGGGCUUGGUAGUAACCCACUUCUGAGAAUCCCUGGUCUGAGGAGUCUCCCAUUUUAUGUUUUGACCUGUGAUAGCAAGUAAUGUUGCAGGAAAAGUGAGCUUGGCACUCUUUUUAUUAUUGGGUUUAUAAAGGCAUUUUCUUAUGUUUCACGUAUGGAACAAGGAACUCUUAAUGCUUUUUCUAUUCGAUUUUCCCAGUGAAAGCAAAUUGCAAAACACACAAGCAACUGGGCCCCUGCCUUU